UUGCAUUGACGAGCGGCGGACGGGUGAGUAAUGUCUGGGAAACUGCCUGAUGGAGGGGGAUAACUACUGGAAACGGUAGCUAAUACCGCAUAACGUCUUCGGACCAAAGAGGGGGACCUUCGGGCCUCUUGCCAUCAGAUGUGCCCAGAUGGGAUUAGCUAGUAGGUGAGGUAAUGGCUCACCUAGGCGACGAUCCCUAGCUGGUCUGAGAGGAUGACCAGCCACACUGGAACUGAGACACGGUCCAGACUCCUACGGGAGGCAGCAGUGGGGAAUAUUGCACAAUGGGCGCAAGCCUGAUGCAGCCAUGCCGCGUGUGUGAAGAAGGCCUUCGGGUUGUAAAGCACUUUCAGCGGGGAGGAAGGCGGUGAGGUUAAUAACCUCAUCGAUUGACGUUACCCGCAGAAGAAGCACCGGCUAACUCCGUGCCAGCAGCCGCGGUAAUACGGAGGGUGCAAGCGUUAAUCGGAAUGACUGGGCGUAAAGCGCACGCAGGCGGUUUGUUAAGUCAGAUGUGAAAUCCCCGAGCUUAACUUGGGAACUGCAUUUGAAACUGGCAAGCUAGAGUCUUGUAGAGGGGGGUAGAAUUCCAGGUGUAGCGGUGAAAUGCGUAGAGACUGGAGGAAUACCGGUGGCGAAGGCGGCCCCCUGGACAAAGACUGACGCUCAGGUGCGAAAGCGUGGGGAGCAAACAGGAUGGA
This 701-nucleotide ribosomal RNA is filed under the name Pectobacterium carotovorum subsp. carotovorum. Its description in RNAcentral is "bacterial SSU rRNA". It matches the Rfam family "Bacterial small subunit ribosomal RNA", at positions 83 to 781 of the family's 1533-position model. Lineage: Bacteria; Pseudomonadati; Pseudomonadota; Gammaproteobacteria; Enterobacterales; Pectobacteriaceae. The record is from RNAcentral.